RNAcentral lists this long non-coding RNA (345 nucleotides) under Parus major (Great Tit). RNAcentral describes it as "lncRNA (ENSPMJG00000016986.1)". The record is from RNAcentral. Lineage: Eukaryota; Metazoa; Chordata; Aves; Passeriformes; Paridae.
AGUAUUUAUUGUAUGUUACCAACCAGCUCGUGCUUUGGUUUUAGAAAAUGAAAUGAGAGGCUGACUAUGAAAAGAGAGUCCAUUUUUCCAGUUGUGUGCAGAGUACAGCUGAGAAACAAAGCUUCUGACACAGUGAACUGGACCUUCCUUUGGACCCCAAAGUAUUGCUGAACAGUGAAAAGUCCUGACACGGUAACAAGAGGAGAAAAACCUUGAGGUCAGUGUGCAGAGAGGGGAGGGACAGCACCUUCCCAUGUGAGUGAGAGGAAUGAUCUCCAAUGACAAGCCCAUUGAGAGGGGUGGGGUGGGGACAAAGUCUUCUGGUGUAGCUGUGCUUAGGAUGGA